CCUACGGGAGGCAGCAGUGAGGAAUAUUGGACAAUGGGCGCAAGCCUGAUCCAGCCAUGCCGCGUGCAGGAAGACGGUCCUAUGGAUUGUAAACUGCUUUUAUACAGGAAGAAACACCUCUACGUGUAGAGACUUGACGGUACUGUAUGAAUAAGCAUCGGCUAACUCCGUGCCAGCAGCCGCGGUAAUACGGAGGAUGCAAGCGUUAUCCGGAAUCAUUGGGUUUAAAGGGUCCGUAGGCGGUUUAAUAAGUCAGUGGUGAAAGCCCAUCGCUCAACGAUGGAACGGCCAUUGAUACUGUUAAACUUGAAUUAUUAGGAAGUAACUAGAAUAUGUAGUGUAGCGGUGAAAUGCUUAGAGAUUACAUGGAAUACCAAUUGCGAAGGCAGGUUACUACUAAUAUAUUGACGCUGAUGGACGAAAGCGUGGGGAGCGAACAGGAUUAGAUACCCUGGUAGUCCACGCCGUAAAACGAUGGAUACUAGCUGUUCGGAGCAAUUCUGAGUGGCGUAGACGAAGUAGAGUAAGUAUACCACCUCGGGAGGUACGGUUCGUCGAAGAAGUAGAAACGUACGAAAGUAGUAAGUUAGUACGGACGUAGAGACGUUAGCCGACGGACGACGACGAGGGGAGGUAGG
This 638-nucleotide ribosomal RNA is filed under the name uncultured bacterium. RNAcentral describes it as "bacterial SSU rRNA". The stretch from base 1 to 537 matches the Rfam family "Bacterial small subunit ribosomal RNA", at positions 338 to 873 of the family's 1533-position model. The record is from RNAcentral.